Molecule: transfer RNA, 91 nt
Filed under: Phocaeicola vulgatus
Lineage: Bacteria; Pseudomonadati; Bacteroidota; Bacteroidia; Bacteroidales; Bacteroidaceae
Also listed under: 19 other names
Description: tRNA-Ser
Rfam family: tRNA
About the family: Transfer RNA (tRNA) molecules are approximately 80 nucleotides in length. Their secondary structure includes four short double-helical elements and three loops (D, anti-codon, and T loops). Further hydrogen bonds mediate the characteristic L-shaped molecular structure. tRNAs have two regions of fundamental functional importance: the anti-codon, which is responsible for specific mRNA codon recognition, and the 3' end, to which the tRNAs corresponding amino acid is attached (by aminoacyl-tRNA synthetases). tRNAs cope with the degeneracy of the genetic code in two manners: having more than one tRNA (with a specific anti-codon) for a particular amino acid; and 'wobble' base-pairing, i.e. permitting non-standard base-pairing at the 3rd anti-codon position.
Source: RNAcentral
GGAGAGGUGCUCGAGUGGUUGAAGAGGCACGCCUGGAAAGCGUGUAUACCCCAAAAGGGUAUCCGGGGUUCGAAUCCCCGUCUCUCCGCAA